CCACGAGAUGCCUGGGGAUUGUUGGAGAUGUCGCGAUGCCAAUGGCACCGCCCUCCACAUCUGGUGGAGCUGCCUGGGCAUCGCCCCCUUCUGGACCACGAUCCAAGAGACCAUUAAGCAAAUCACAGAUAUUGCCCUUCCACUACAACCCCUCACCAUGAUCCUCCAUCACACUGACAUGACCCUUUCAGUAUACAAGAAAUCUCUGAUAAAACACCUAACGGCAGCCAUUGCACUGGUCCCUACAAGGUGGAGACACAAGGAUGCGCCCACACUCAAGCAGUGGAUCAACAAGGUGGGGGAACUAUAUAAUAUGGAAUCC
Molecule: non-coding RNA, 322 nt
Organism: Pelobates cultripes (western spadefoot toad)
Lineage: Eukaryota; Metazoa; Chordata; Amphibia; Anura; Pelobatidae
Source: the annotation of a GenBank genome assembly